Non-coding RNA from Vicugna pacos (alpaca), 6804 nucleotides. NCBI's taxonomy places the organism in Eukaryota, Metazoa, Chordata, Mammalia, Artiodactyla, Camelidae. The record is from RefSeq and is a predicted model, not a curated record.
ACAACAGCUCUCGUUCUCCUUCCCAUUUCCACUACUUUUUUUUAACGUUCCCUUCAGGGAUUCCCUGUCCCCACCAGGAAUUUUUAACCAAACACCCCAACUUGGCAGCUUUUUCUGUGGAGGACAGACGGCCGGCCGGACCUCUGAGCACAUGGUGUCCUGACCACCCACCAGCUCCUCCAGCCCUGCCGGGCACGUGCCCGGGGGCUCCUGCCCCUCCCAGGCCUCUCCUCCCAGGCCACCCUCACCUCUGUUUGAUAGACUUUGUGAAUCUGUGGACUGCUCUACUUUAAGAAGAUGACCAGUUUGGAGUAAUCAGAAUUAUACCCCCUUCUUUUUAAGGAUUUUUUUUUCUAAAAAGCUAUUUAUCGCUCCUGUUGAAAGACCAGAUCCUUGAAGAAGUUUGUGGUAUGAAAGGAAGUGGGGACAGAUUUGCAGCGCAGAACUCUUUGGCCUGUUUCACUCCUGCUCCUCUCAGCCAGCCUUAGGGAAGGCCGCGUGACACUCGUGUGGUCUGUGGGGGGAUGGCAGCAGUGAAGCGGUAGCCGCCAGGGGGUAGUGGGGGGUGGGGCAAGGAGGGAGGAUCCGGUGGGGUAGAGGUUUUGUAUUGAGGUCAGUGAUGAUGUUUGAUAUUUAUUUCCUGCUACUGAAAUUUGAAUCUGAGUGAAUUGUCCCUAUUUCUGAUGAUGUCGGUAUUGCAAAGCGACAGAUUCAUAAAGUAAUGAUCAAAUCUUCCUUUCUUUCCGUGUGUAUUUCUAAGAAAUAGAGCCAACUGAUUUUGUAUGUAAAUACCAAGAGCGAUUCACCUGGUACUAAACCCGCAUCCCAGUGCGGACCCCUCCCCACCCUCGCCCCACUCCCCUUCCGACUGUCCUGGAACCCAUCCCCAUUGUGUGAUCCAGCCCUGGUUCUGGCUGCGGUCAGCAGAUCCCAGUGAAGGGUUUGUGUGUUUAAGCUUCAUUUCUUUGUCUUUUUCCUACUCUCUUCCCGGCAUUUGCUGAUUCUAGUGUAUACUCUGUAGUCUCAGUCCGUGUUUGAUUCCAUUCCAUGGAAAUAAAAAGUAUGUUGUACAUACUGCUGAAGAAUUGUCUUGCAAGUUAAGGCUUCCCCCUUUACUAUAAGACUAUAAAUAAAAACUUAUUUUAUCCUUCUUGGUGGUGGUGUCUUCUUGCCCUUGCAGAGGCCAAGAUGGUGGAGGGAAGAGCCCUUUGGAGGCCACUGGGCCUGUGGGGGUGCCUGAGAAGGAGCCUGCAGACUGGGAGCAACCAGAGCGGUUCCCUUUUUGUUCGAAGGGCUCAGCCCAGCCUAGCAGGGCCAAGGAGGGUGGAUAAACCACUGGUGGUAACUUUGCUCACUGGAUAGAAGCUUUUAAACCCCAGCAGGGAUGGGGUUAUCCAGGGCAACAUUUCUAGAUCCAGUUCCUGUUAGAUUAACAACCCUUGUGGAGUUGGUAGCCAGAGCUGUGGGUUUGGGUUUCUCCUGGUAACGAAUGUCCAGUCCGGGAGUGGCUGGUAUUGUCCUGGACUUUCAGUUUCCAGAGAGUGCUGGUAUAGUACGAGGAGACAGCAGGACGGCCAUGAGCUGGAAGUCAAGGAGACUUCAACAGCAUCCAGUUGGCUUGCACGGUUGGGGACCAACACUGGCCUGAACUCGUUUGACCUUGAAAGAAAGAGGAUUUAUGGCCAGAAUACAGUUCAGCUUUGGUUUUUUCAUCCAGCUGACAGGAAACAUUGCUGUUCUUAGACCAAUGGAAGGAGAAAAGUCCAAUUAGUUCUUUGAUUUGUCACUUUCUUUGGACUGGUAGUGCUGGUGCUUCUGUCAAUUGGAUGUCAAGUCUAUAGUGUCUCUGGUUAAUGGGAGUUGACAGGUGGUGAAUCAUGUUUUCUAUAAGACGUAUUUGGUAACGUGAUCAAACCAAGCCCUCCAGACUAUGAUCGUAAUAAGAAAAACAAGGAUCUGGGUGAGCAUCUCAUUUAUUAAAGGUGUUCCUCUUCAAGACAGGAAAGAGAUGGGAAUAAGGAAAGAAAAAAAUGGCAAAGAGAAGUCAGGUGAUUUUAUCAGCCUCAAAGUUUACCUGCUUUCUUCCUCUUUCAUUGCCCUUUACUAUAUCUCUUUGUGUGUCUGGGCUUAAUUAUAAAUUCCACAUUACGCACAGUUGGCUUGGUCGGGGUGGACCUUAGAACCGAGCUGCAGGAGCAGCUUUGUUGGUGAGGAGUUGGAAGGGGUGUGAAGCUGGGCACCCUGCAGACAGGGAGCAAACAGGGUAGGUGAUGUCCCUGAGGGCCAGUCCCUGGCUCCAGGAUAUUGGCUGGACAAGGGUUUGAGUUUUAGGCUCCUCAAAAUUUCAAUAAAUCUGUUGGAAGAAAAGGACCAAGGAUAGCUGAUUGACCUGGGAAAAUCCAAACAACCUGACUGACCUGCUGAGCAGACCGACGAGUGGUGGAGAGGAGGUGGAGCCGCUGGGAGAAGCUGCCUGGAGAGGAAAAUCAGGUAAGAGACCCUGGGCUGUAGACUGACCUCGCUAAAGGGGACCGAUGAAAGCCACAGCUAAGUUCCUUCUAGUACGCGUGUCUAGGAAGCCAGUGCAUGUCCCCCCAGGUCACCAAAGUUUGACCAUGGUUCACUCACAGCAGUGUUACUCUCCACGGUUGGUUCUCGGGGCUGCACUCUGGACAAGCGAAGCCAGCGAAGCUUGUCUUGCAGUGAUGAGCUUGGUAUUUUCCUACCAUUACAAUUUGCCGCAAGGGUAUUUAUUAAUGGUCCAGUUUUUAAAUUUUUUGAUAAUGCUAAUCCCACAUGUAGGCUUUGGCAAAGAACUUCCUCAGCUCAAAGCUACCUACCAGCCUUCAGAAAGGUUUAAAAAACAAGACGAGUAGAUGAUAGCCUUGAACAUGGACUGAAGUAAGCAGAAUUCGAUUUCUAAUAAUAGAGUGUGAUGUUUUCUGCUUGGGCUCUGAAGUCAGACUGCCUGGGUUCAAAAUCCUGGCUCUGUCGGUAGCUGGGUAAUCUUGGGCGGGUUACUACUUCCCUCAGCUACAGUGUCCUCAUCUAUAAAAUGAGGAUAAUAAUAGCAUUAACCUCAUAAUGUGGUUGUGAGGAUUAAAGGAAAUAACGCUUAUAUUGCGCUUGACCUCAGGACCAAGGAGCGCUCAGGUGCCAGCUGUCAUUAUCCACACAGAGCACAUGACCAGGACUGACUCUACAAGAUGGAAAAAUACAGCUCCUGCAGCCUUCCCUGGAGCAUGUGAAGGUGGACUUCUUCGUGUCUCACAAAUGCUUCCCGCCCCUGAGAUGUGCCCUGUCCAUCCAAGGCAGGGUGACUAGAGACAGCAGGGCCCCCAGGACUAGGCUAACACACUCAUUCGAAACCAAAGAGUGUACCUUAGAUUGGUGUCAGCUGAGCUGUGUCAUCCCCCUCUGCUACUCAGCAGCAUCUCUGAACUUUGAACAGUGUUCUGCCCUACGGAAUUGCCCAGAAGCCCCUGUGGCGUUGUUACGUAAAGUGGGUCCUUUGGCUAUGCCCUGAGGUGCCCGUGAAGAGGACUCCUGGGCUCCGGCUCCCCUGACCUACAGAGUACCGUAGCCCUGCAGCCAGAAUCAGGCUGGUUCACACGCUCCCCCAGGUGCUUCUCAUGGGCUCAGGUUUAACUACCAAAAGUACAAUCACCCAGGAGCAAAAGGAAGCCGCUGGGGAAAGUGAAGCAUGGCUGAACUGAGUUAGUAAGCUGGGUCCGAGGCAGGGCUCUUUAAGGCUGUACUUGGGGAAAAGGAGGAGGGGAGGAGACUUGUUAAACAGUCUGAUUAAUAGGCUGCCUUGACAGUGUUUCUCUUCUGCCAGUGGGGUUCAAACACUCUCGAGGGCUGCCUAGCCACCUGCUUUUGCAGCCCCAAGCAAGGGUGAUAUCACGGGGAAGCACCCAUUUUUAUGCCCCGCACUGGCUGUCCUCUUUCACCAGGCAGAUUUGUAAGCCAGCUGGAGUAAGGCUAUCUCACAGGCCUGUUUGCCAGAGUCCAUUCUGGACAGCCUCUGGGAACGUGAAACUAGAGCUUUUCUUUGCUCAAAACAGUUUCUCUAGCCUGAGAAAGGAGCCCAGGUAGGGAAAAGGAGUUUGUCAGCCUCUACGUUGGGUGCACAGUGGAAAAACCAUGGUAGGUACUAGGACCCUUCUGAAGCACUGCUGAAUCAUGACUGAGCAAAGACAGAGUGUCCAUCAGUUGUGGGGUUCCAUAGUUUAGGGUUUACUAAGGCACAGGCUUAAUCCAUACAUCCCACGCUCUCCCUGGGAAAGGGAUAACAAAGUGUAUUCCAGUUAAUUUCUCAGGUAGAAAAUCAAAUUGGCCCAGUGCUCACUCCUGGACCAGUUUGGAGAAGCAGGCUUAGCUGUCCGCUGGACUGGAGUGACGACAUCAGACAGGCCCCUGCUUGAGUUCUGGAGGCUCUCCCAGUGAACGUCAUCACCCAGCUGUAAAUUAAAGGCCAGAGAAAAAAAAGGAAAGAAAAGAAUCAAGGAUCCAAUGUUAAAUCUGUGCCAGAACCUUCCACUCCAAUGCUGAACAUGGUGAGAGUGUGAGACUCCUGCCAAGAAAAACAGAAAGCUGGCGGCUACCAUGGCAGGCCCGUGGGGAAAGAGCCUGGCCUCAGGCUCCCAGUGCAGCCAGCAGAGAGGCUGAGUGGAGGCUGUUUGUGAAGGGAAGGUGGGCCAGAGCCUCCACUCUGCAUGGGCUGGAUCACCAUUCACUUGCCACCGCGUUCACUGGCCACCAUGGUGUCCAGGCUCCCAAGAGAGAGAGGAGAGACUCGAGGGGUGGAGCCCAGCACAGCGUGAGCCUUCCUCAGGAGCACAGUGUGGGUCUCCAGGGGACUCGUGUCAUUGUCACCUUUGUCACCCCCGCACUGAGGGGCCACUGCAGGGUACUUAACUGCAGCCCUGCCGGGUGCUGGUCAGCACACCCAGGGAGCAGCCCCUGCAGCCCCAGGGGCCACCCAGCCUUCCCCUUGAGAGGGCUGGGACCCUGAGCCUGCUCCGACUCUGGUAGCUGAAGUCCCAGGAUAACUAAUGUCAAUGCCUUUUAUUAUGAAAAGAGUUUAAUGUGACCAAAUGCUAAGAGAGUGGUAUACUGAACCCUAAAGUGCCCAUUAUCCUGUGUCAACAACUACCAGCACGCAGGGCUUCUUUCCUUCCUUUUUGAGCGUCCCUCUCUGGAGGGGUAACACACAGUACUUCUUGAAAGAAAAGGGAUGAAAAAAAGCAUUAUUAUUAUUAAAGUAAGAAAGUGUGUGUAUGGCAAAGGGACACAGGAGCCAACUGGAAGAGCUCCUAAUGGCCAAAGCUGGAACAGUUUGAGCAAUAAAAUAAUAUAGUACUGGGACAUUGAUAUAUAACCCAAAGCAUAAAUAUUCAUGAGUGCACACUGAUAUAAAUAAAUGAUUGAAUAAAUAAAUAAAUGGAGAAUAGACAAACCUGCCAAAUGAAAGAAUUCUGAAUAAUUUAUGUGGAGCAUAACUCCUCAUUCCUUAGGUGUGGGCUGCGCACAUGGACGUCCUUCUAAAGGGAACAGUGUGGAAAGGGGAAGAAAGAGGAACCUUGUGGUGAAACCUGACAAACACUAACUCAGCCAGUGGCCAAGGUUAACAGCAUCAGUGAUAAGCCAUGUGGGUAGCAUGUACCAUUGACAGGAUGUGACCAGAGGACACUUGACCUCUGUGGUCUUCCUCAUAAAAACCCAGAGUCCCAGUCUACUCAUGAGAAACAAAUUCACACAAAUCCCAGUCAAUGGACAGUCUACGAAAUACGUGACCAGUCCUCCUCAGAACUGUCAAGGGCACCCAAAAGGAGAGUCAGAGAAACUGUCACACGCAAGAGCAUCCUGAGGAGACAGGACCACUAAAUGUAGUGAGGUGUCUUGGAUGGGAUCCUGGGACAGAGAAAGCACGUUAGAGGAAAACUAAAGAACCUGAAUAAAUUAUGGACUUUAGUUAAUAAUAACAUACCAAUGUUGGUUCAUUAGUUGUGACAGAUGGACCACAUUGACAUAAGAUGUUAACAAGAGGGGAAACUAAGGGGUAUAAGGGAACUCUGUGAAAGUUUAUUUUGAAGAAUGCAUUGUCGUAAUUUUUCAACAGCUGUAUUUCUGCCGGGGGGCAGACUAACUUCACUGAGCUGGGCUGGCGAUGAGCACUCUGUCCUGCCUGCCUGAUUUUGUUCUUGGAUGUGCCCAAGAAGUAGGAGAGGGGACCAUCAGCUUCCCGGCCCCAACCUCUGAACUUCCUAUACCAGCUGGUGAAAAGCAGAGGCAAGGAGGUUAUUGUGGAGAAGUGAAAGAGGAUGUCCAGGAACCAGUUAGGCGUGCCGGGCUGGGCUGGAGAAGGCUGGCUGCCACUGGGGCUGUGGUCAGGUCCCGGGAAGACUGACUCACCGUGGCCUUGCCUAUGAGUCAUGCAGCAUAACACCCUGCACUGGGGUGGCACGCAUUUGGUGCAGGGAGCGUUGCUCUACACCAGGGACCUGGCAGAAUAUGGGGGAUGGGUUAAAAGGGUGAAGCGAGCCUGCCCCUGCUCUCUGCUGGCACUAUUCUUGUCCUGGUGAAAGAUGGGGGCAGGCAUUCGGGGCCUCAGUCAUCCACCCCUGGAGGGAACUCAUGCAUGCUCAGCUACUGCUCCCAUCCUCUGAGACCACCCACUUCAGAAACCUGGCGUGGUGGAAGCACAUGGGCUUUGAAAGCAGCAGAUCUGGGUUCACGUUCAGACUCCACUGCUUGAUAGCCGGGAAGCCUCAGGUGAUUCAGUUACGCUCUCUGACCUGU